AGACAGAUGCAGGCAGGGAGCGGGAGGAGGGAAUGGGAAUGAGCUGAGCAGCAGCAUCACAGCUGGAGGGCUGGACAUGGAUGACCAGCUCCUCACUUCCAGGUGUUUCCACAUCAAGCAUCCUGCAGACAGCUAACAAGUUCAUUCUACAAAGUACAGUUCUCACCACUUUAUCCUUCCUCUGCUCGGAAACAGUCAAUGGUUUCCCACUGUCCACAGGGGAUGCUUAACGCAUGUGGGUUAUGCAGCUAGAAAGACAAGGCACAACCUCUUUGGUCUCUGCCUCUUUUCAUGGCACAGACACCAAAAGCCAUCUAAUGGAUGACCAGACAACAUGGAGAAAAGAGCUCUCCUAGAAAGCCAAGGCCCAGAAGAGUGAGGAGAAGGCCUGUGUCCGGCAGGGUCUACUGAUUCUAAGCCUACGACAUACUGAGAAGAAAAUCAACUCUCUAUCAAGGAAUGUGAUAGAUGUGGGAUUAAGUAUCAUCAUUGAUUUAAAGAGUACAAAGUUUGAAGAAAAUGCUUCCCCGAGACAUUUGGCAAGGAUACAGCUUUCCUCUAUUAUGCCCAGGCAGCCACCUCUGAAAGCUCCCUAGAAUAUAACUCAAGAAUGGCACCCAAAAUCCCUGAGCAUCUUGUUCCUCUCCAGCCAUACAAAGGGAUGACAACAACAUGGAUCCAGCAACCGGAAGGUAUGUUUGCCACUGUGUGUCAGCCAGACUUCAAAAUGGUCCCCAGUGAUUCUUGCCUCCUGGUAUUCAUGACCCAUGUAGUCAGGUAGGUCUGACCUACAUAACCAACAGGAUGCUGCAGAAAUGACAGUAUGGGACUUCCAAGGCUAGGGCUCUGGGGGAAACCAGUCCACAUGUUGUGAGGACAUUCAAGCAGCCCUGUGGAAAAGCCCAUGUGGCAAAACACUGAGGCCUCCUGCCCACAGCCAGCAUUAGCUUCCCAGCCUCUGUAGUGGGCCACUUUGGAAGUAGGCGCUCCUGCCUGUCCAAAUUACAGUGGACCGAGGCCCCAACCAAAAGCUUGGCUGGAAUCUCAUGAGACACCCCUGGCCAGAAACACCUGGGCUCAAUGGUCCAAAUUCCUGACCCACAGAAACUGUGUAAAAAAUGUUUAUUGUUGUGUUGAGCUGCUGAGUUUGGGAGUAACCUGCUAUGCUGCACUAAACAACUAACAGAGACGGCCUGACUUAAAGACCAAUGUGACACACACAGAAUUCACUUCCCAGGAGCUGGGACUGGGGUCUCCACCAGCACAACUGCAGGCAAAGGCUGAAAGGUCUCUGCACAGGCACCCACACUAUUCUGCCCAGGGUGGUCCCAGGGGCAGAGGCAGGGGCAGAUUUCCAUCACCAUGGUCUAGGGCUCCCCUGUGACAGACGGGAGGCCAGCUGAUUUCCAAAACUGCUUGGUGAGCACUAACUGGGGCAGCAGAGGAGGGGCAUCAGCUCCCCCAGAGGAGAUAGCAUCUGGCCUUGUCCACAGAGGCACUAGGAAUCAAUCUGGAGUCACGAGGUCACAUGUGGCCCCAAAUUGGGGGUAAACCCACAGAAGAAACGACCCUCCACAAAGUAACUCUUGAAACUAUGCAUGCUGCCCUGCAAUCCCUUUGAUGUACCUUUAAGUUCAUUUGGACCUUUUGAUAUUUGUUCUUGAAGUCAUCUCCAAGUAAAAUUAUUUAACUCUC
Homo sapiens (human) is the source of this 1695-nucleotide long non-coding RNA. Ensembl annotates it as DTD1 antisense RNA 1. Its record names the gene DTD1-AS1. The record is from Ensembl. Lineage: Eukaryota; Metazoa; Chordata; Mammalia; Primates; Hominidae.